RNAcentral lists this ribosomal RNA (540 nucleotides) under Rattus norvegicus (Norway rat). RNAcentral's name for it is "partial large subunit ribosomal RNA". It matches the Rfam family "Bacterial large subunit ribosomal RNA", at positions 1843 to 2606 of the family's 2925-position model. Lineage: Eukaryota; Metazoa; Chordata; Mammalia; Rodentia; Muridae. The record is from RNAcentral.
GUAUUAGAGGCAUUGCCUGCCCAGUGACUAAAGUUAAACGGCCGCGGUAUCCUGACCGUGCAAAGGUAGCAUAAUCACUUGUUCCUUAAUUAGGGACUAGAAUGAAUGGCUAAACGAGGGUUCAACUGUCUCUUACUUUCAAUCAGUGAAAUUGACCUUCCAGUGAAGAGGCUGGAAUCUCCCAAUAAGACGAGAAGACCCUAUGGAGCUUUAAUUUACUAGUUCAACUUAUAUAAAAACAACCUAAUGGGCUAAAACAAAAUAAAUAUGAACUAAAAAAUUUCGGUUGGGGUGACCUCGGAGAAUAAAAAAUCCUCCGAAUGAUUUUAACCUAGACUCACAAGUCAAAGUAAUACUAAUAUCUUAUUGACCCAAUUAUUGAUCAACGGACCAAGUUACCCUAGGGAUAACAGCGCAAUCCUAUUUAAGAGUUCAUAUCGACAAUUAGGGUUUACGACCUCGAUGUUGGAUCAGGACAUCCCAAUGGUGCAGAAGCUAUUAAUGGUUCGUUUGUUCAACGAUUAAAGUCCUACGUGAUCU